This 483-nucleotide ribosomal RNA is filed under the name uncultured bacterium. RNAcentral describes it as "partial 16S ribosomal RNA". It matches the Rfam family "Bacterial small subunit ribosomal RNA", at positions 30 to 507 of the family's 1533-position model. The record is from RNAcentral.
AUUGAACGCUGGCGGCAGGCCUAACACAUGCCAGUCGAGCGGAUGAAGGGAGCUUGCUCCUGGAUUCAGCGGCGGACGGGUGAGUAAUGCCUAGGAAUCUGCCUGGUAGUGGGGGAUAACGUCCGGAAACGGGCGCUAAUACCGCAUACGUCCUGAGGGAGAAAGUGGGGGAUCUUCGGACCUCACGCUAUCAGAUGAGCCUAGGUCGGAUUAGCUAGUUGGUGGGGUAAAGGCCUACCAAGGCGACGAUCCGUAACUGGUCUGAGAGGAUGAUCAGUCACACUGGAACUGAGACACGGUCCAGACUCCUACGGGAGGCAGCAGUGGGGAAUAUUGGACAAUGGGCGAAAGCCUGAUCCAGCCAUGCCGCGUGUGUGAAGAAGGUCUUCGGAUUGUAAGCACUUUAAGUUGGGAGGAAGGGCAGUAAGUUAAUACCUUGCUGUUUUGACGUUACCAACAGAAUAAGCACCGGCUAACUUCGUG